GCCAACGUAGCUCAGUUGGUAGAGCAACUGAUUCGUAAUCAGUAGGUCGUCAGUUCAACUCUGAUCGUUGGCU
Molecule: transfer RNA, 73 nt
Filed under: Maridesulfovibrio gilichinskyi
Lineage: Bacteria; Pseudomonadati; Thermodesulfobacteriota; Desulfovibrionia; Desulfovibrionales; Desulfovibrionaceae
Description: Desulfovibrio sp. K3S tRNA_Thr_CGT
Rfam family: tRNA
About the family: Transfer RNA (tRNA) molecules are approximately 80 nucleotides in length.
Source: RNAcentral